RNAcentral lists this ribosomal RNA (468 nucleotides) under uncultured bacterium. RNAcentral describes it as "partial 16S ribosomal RNA". It matches the Rfam family "Bacterial small subunit ribosomal RNA", at positions 28 to 507 of the family's 1533-position model. The record is from RNAcentral.
GACGAACGCUGGCGGCGUGCUUAACACAUGCAAGUCGAACGGAAAGGCCCUGCUUUUGUGGGGUGCUCGAGUGGCGAACGGGUGAGUAACACGUGAGUAACCUGCCCUUGACUUUGGGAUAACUUCAGGAAACUGGGGCUAAUACCGGAUAGGAGCUCCUGCUGCAUGGUGGGGGUUGGAAAGUUUCGGCGGUUAGGGAUGGACUCGCGGCUUAUCAGCUUGUUGGUGGGGUAGUGGCUUACCAAGGCUUUGACGGGUAGCCGGCCUGAGAGGGUGACCGGCCACAUUGGGACUGAGAUACGGCCCAGACUCCUACGGGAGGCAGCAGUGGGGAAUAUUGCACAAUGGGCGGAAGCCUGAUGCAGCAACGCCGCGUGCGGGAUGACGGCCUUCGAGUUGUAAACCGCUUUCGCCUGUGACGAAGCGUGAGUGACGGUAAUGGGUAAAGAAGCACCGGCUAACUACGUG